GGUCGCGUGGCCCAAUGGCAAGGCGUCUGACUACGAAUCAGAAGAUUCUGGUUCGAUCCCCAGCGUGAUCA
RNAcentral lists this transfer RNA (71 nucleotides) under Fusarium oxysporum. RNAcentral describes it as "tRNA-Arg". It matches the Rfam family "tRNA". Rfam says of the family: Transfer RNA (tRNA) molecules are approximately 80 nucleotides in length. Their secondary structure includes four short double-helical elements and three loops (D, anti-codon, and T loops). RNAcentral also lists the same sequence under 3 other names. Lineage: Eukaryota; Fungi; Ascomycota; Sordariomycetes; Hypocreales; Nectriaceae. The record is from RNAcentral.